GCAGCCGAAUUUAAUUUGGGGUGUCCGGGGACGCCGGAGGUGCCUUUGGUGUUCUCAGCCCCAGCCCGGCCCGACCGCGGGGUCCGGGACCCCCCAAAACCGGAGCAUAAGGAAGAGCUGCUUCGCUUGGAAAAAAAAUUAAUUAGUCUCCAGACAUGGAGGCAAAGUCUCUGAGUUAGUCCAAGGAGGCUUCCUUAAAUUAGCAAUCGAGGCUCUGGGCGGAGGGGUUGGGGAGUUAAGCCUUAAAAAGGUGAUUUUUGUAGGUACGAAAGAGUCACAAACGUUACUUUGGCUUUAAAUAAAAUAAGUGAGCAAAAUCUUUUGGACAAGCCAAGCCUACGGCCAGACAAGAAACCGAUCGGUCGAGCGCCUUUAACUUUCCAGAAUUAAACCUCUCCCCUUGCCAAAACCGUUACAGAUCCAAGAAUUCGAGCGAGAAUUUAUUUUGCCCCGCAUACUCCAGUAAAACGUUUCUAAAAUCUUCGUUGUAAUGAUUUUUCAGGAGAGUUUUUGUUUCUCUUUAGGAACUCUUUCCGUUGCUGUAUUUCGGGGUGUAUUGAAUUACACUUAAAUCUUUGCAAGAGUUCUCCGUUGAGGAAAAAAAAAAAAAAAAAAGAACAAUAAUGAUAAAAAAUCAGUAGAAAUGAGCAACAGAAGUCUAUCCAGCAUCAGGAGCUCCCUCAAACAAAAUACUCCAUUUGUUUCUAUUCCAUCCAUUUGUUGGGAAAUUCAAUUAAGCCUGGCUACCUUCAAUUAUUUACAUAAGCCCCCUGUCCCGGAGACUUUUAUAGGUUUCUUCUCUGGUUUUCAACAUUGUUAUUAGAAAUCCAUAAAGCAGGGGAGGGACAGGAAAUUAAAUUUAAAGGUACCUCAUUAUGGCACAACUGCGUUCCUAGCUCUGCGCCGCUGCGGACGGAGACGCAAGUUUAGGCGGACGGAGAGGAACACAUGGCGACAGGAGAAGGCUGGGUCCCCUCAGCAAGUGGACUUGGCAAUCCUGGCGAAAUGACCUUUUAGUUUCAAGUCUAGCGAGCAGCCUUCCUUCCCAUCCCAGCGGUGGGCUCGGAGAGUCCGCAGAGAGGGAAAAAGGGGAAGAAAAGAAAAAAAAAAAGCCGAGGGAGAAAGGAAAAUCGUGCAAAUGGUAGAGCCACAAGACGGAGCAUGAAAUUAUCAUUAAAAAGUAAAGAAAAGGGAAGAUCAGCAAGCCUGCUCGCCCGUCCGGAGAGCUGGCUGGCAGUUUCCUGGCCAGACGUCUGGGGCUGAUGAGGAGGAUGAAGUAUUCUCGGGAAGCGACAUGUGGGAAUAUUAUAAAAGACCAAGACGUUACGAAAACCGCCUCCCUCCCCAGUCUCCCGGCGAGGCCGGAUCCAGCACCCACUUACCUGUCCGAGCCCUUCCCAGCCUUUCCGUCUUGUCUUUUUUUUUAAGCAAAUGUUUCCCCUCCCCCUUAAAAAAUGCCAGGGAAAUAAAUAAAUACCGACAGCC
Long non-coding RNA from Calidris pugnax (ruff), 1485 nucleotides. RefSeq lists it as uncharacterized. The transcript has 2 exons. Lineage: Eukaryota; Metazoa; Chordata; Aves; Charadriiformes; Scolopacidae. The record is from RefSeq and is a predicted model, not a curated record.